Molecule: long non-coding RNA, 259 nt
Organism: Neopsephotus bourkii (Bourke's parrot)
Lineage: Eukaryota; Metazoa; Chordata; Aves; Psittaciformes; Psittacidae
Exons: 2
Source: RefSeq, a predicted model, not a curated record
AAAAAAAUAAAAAAAUAAAAAAGAGCAGCUACUGAGAUUGGAGCAAUUGUGGCAGCAACUUCCUGCACAAGAAUUGGCAGAAGAUGCUCCUUUCCCACAUGAUCAGCCUGAGCUUUGGGAAAGCGUGAACUUCAGAUCUUUGGAGCAUGUAAAGCAACAAGGCAUCAAGGCAGCAGUGACACAGGCAGUAAUAUCCUUCGGUAAAUGCCGUUCAAUGCAGCAGAGCUUCUUAGCGAUUAAAGGAGCCUUGGAAAUGUCA